This is a long non-coding RNA of Ruditapes philippinarum (Manila clam), 1294 nucleotides long. RefSeq lists it as uncharacterized. NCBI's taxonomy places the organism in Eukaryota, Metazoa, Mollusca, Bivalvia, Venerida, Veneridae. The record is from RefSeq and is a predicted model, not a curated record. The transcript is spliced from 2 exons.
GGCCCCAUUACUGUUAAUUAAGAAAUGAAUAAUUUAACGUCCCAUUAGAUAUCAUCAAAAUACUAUAUAUUUGAGAUAAAAUCAUAUGUAGCUAUACUCAGUCUGAAAUUAGAACUGGUUUGAGUUACUCAAAAUGAACACAACAGUGUGCUUCGUGCUUUUGUUGGCCGUUACGCAAAUAUUUGCAUGGCGACCGAUUACAAAAUUUCAAAAACGUUUCAAGGCACUACCCGACGAUUAUUUGGAACUUGAUGAUAUGGCGGAUGAUUACAAUGCAGGCUAUGCAAACGGUGACGACUUCGGGUACAUGGAUGACCGACAGAAGCGCUUCAAACAAGCAUUCAAACAAGGGUUCAAAUUCAAACAUGCAAGGAAGUAGGAUGUAAUGUUUCUGAGAAAGAAUGGAAUCGGAUCGGAAAGAUAAAUGACCGAGAAAAAUUAUUGUUGUAAUAUUACACUUUCCUCUCUUUUUACUUACUUAGUUUAUCUAUUCUUUUACUUUUAAGCAAAUUUCUCGAAACACCUUAGUUGAAAGGUACAUUUGAAUCAAUAUGCAACCAUACUACUGAAAGAUAAAAAAAUGGAAACAAAGUGAUCCAUCGGAAGCAAUAAUCACAACAAAAUUACAUGAAAAUAGCAGACUCGCUUUAAUUAUGUGAUUCAUAUUAGCAAAGAUAAAUACUCAUACAGAUUCGGAGCAAGGGCGAUCAACAAAGAAACAUUUAAAAAUGCGUGAACGAAAGAUAGGGUUGAAGCUGCAUACCUCCAGAUGAGCCACAAUAUUUCAAGACAAUCAAACUUGAACAAAAUGUCCUAAAGUUUUAAGAAACGUAAAAGGAUUCAAAAUUAAAGUCAUAGUUCACAUGUUGUGUGCGAUUGAAGACUAAUUUUGUAAUAUUUAUCACCAUAUUUCUACUGCGUUACUAACGCAGUAAGGGCUAUUUUCGCAUAUUUUGACCUCUUUGGGUAAUUGAAGUGGAUUGUACAAGCCGUUUGCAAUAUGUAAAUUACUUUCUUUGUUCACUUCAAAAUAUAGUACUUUAAAAUAAUUUUUCAAAAUUUUCAUGAUAAUUUGCAUAAAUCUGGAGGCAUGCUGCUUUAAACCAGUACUUCAGAGAACAUUGUCUUGCUCGAACCGACGAUUUUUAUCUUAUUAUACAAGAUGAUCAGGGUCCCAAUACAUUUUUUGCACUAUCACAAUCAGUUUGGUUAAAACUUAAAGAUUGCACACGAUUUGUCUAUUAGCUUUGUUGCUGUUUUUCAUAGUUGUUUUACUUUGUUCUGCUAUGGUUGA